Molecule: small nuclear RNA, 106 nt
Organism: Nannospalax galili (Upper Galilee mountains blind mole rat)
Lineage: Eukaryota; Metazoa; Chordata; Mammalia; Rodentia; Spalacidae
Source: Ensembl
AAGCUCAGACAGCAGCACAUAUACUAAAAUUGGAACGAUAGAGAGAUUAUUUGCAUGGCACCUGGGGAAGGACAACACACAAAUUAAUGAAGCGCUCCAUAUAUAU